This 497-nucleotide ribosomal RNA is filed under the name uncultured bacterium. RNAcentral's name for it is "partial 16S ribosomal RNA". It matches the Rfam family "Bacterial small subunit ribosomal RNA", at positions 36 to 507 of the family's 1533-position model. The record is from RNAcentral.
UCUUCCCUCUGGCUUCGUGCCUAAUACAUGCAAGUCGAGCGAACAGAUGAGGAGCUUGCUCCUCUGACGUUAGCGGCGGACGGGUGAGUAACACGUGGAUAACCUACCUAUAAGACUGGGAUAACUUCGGGAAACCGGAGCUAAUACCGGAUAAUAUAUUGAACCGCAUGGUUCAAUAGUGAAAGACGGUUUUGCUGUCACUUAUAGAUGGAUCCGCGCUGCAUUAGCUAGUUGGUAAGGUAACGGCUUACCAAGGCAACGAUGCGUAGCCGACCUGAGAGGGUGAUCGGCCACACUGGAACUGAGACACGGUCCAGACUCCUACGGGAGGCAGCAGUAGGGAAUCUUCCGCAAUGGGCGAAAGCCUGACGGAGCAACGCCGCGUGAGUGAUGAAGGUCUUCGGAUCGUAAAACUCUGUUAUUAGGGAAGAACAAAUGUGUAAGUAACUAUGCACGUCUUGACGGUACCUAAUCAGAAAGCCACGGCUAACUACGUG